RNAcentral lists this ribosomal RNA (505 nucleotides) under uncultured Lachnospiraceae bacterium. Its description in RNAcentral is "partial 16S ribosomal RNA". Lineage: Bacteria; Bacillati; Bacillota; Clostridia; Lachnospirales; Lachnospiraceae. The record is from RNAcentral.
CACGUAGUUAGCCGGGGCUUCUUAGUCAGGUACCGUCUGGCGGCCCUAAGGCCGGUUUUCUUCCCUGCUGAUAGAGCUUUACGUACCGAAAUACUUCUUCACUCACGCGGCGUCGCUGCAUCAGGGUUUCCCCCAUUGUGCAAUAUUCCCCACUGCUGCCUCCCGUAGGAGUUUGGGCCGUGUCUCAGUCCCAAUGUGGCCGUUCACCCUCUCAGGCCGGCUACUGAUCGUCGCUUUGGUGGGCCGUUACCCCGCCAACUGGCUAAUCAGACGCGGAUCCAUCGUAUACCACCGGAGUUUUUCACACUGUUCCAUGCGGAACCGUGCGCUUAUGCGGUAUUAGCACCUAUUUCUAAGUGUUAUCCCCCUGUAUACGGCAGGUUAUCCACGCGUUACUCACCCGUCCGCCACUAAUCCAUACAUCACUAGGUUUCAAUAUGGAUCCGUUCGACUUGCAUGUGUUAGGCACGCCGCCAGCGUUCAUCCUGAGCCAGGAUCAAACUCU